CAGCCGCCACGGUAAUACGAAGGGGGCCAGCGUUGUUCGGAUUUACUGGGCGUAAAGCGCACGUAGGCGGAUCGAUCAGUCAGGGGUGAAAUCCCAGAGCUCAACUCUGGAACUGCCUUUGAUACUGUCGAUCUGGAGUAUGGAAGAGGUGAGUGGAAUUCCGAGUGUAGAGGUGAAAUUCGUAGAUAUUCGGAGGAACACCAGUGGCGAAGGCGGCUCACUGGUCCAUUACUGACGCUGAGGUGCGAAAGCGUGGGGAGCAAACAGGAUUAGAGACCCGUGUAGUCCCUGUCUCUUAUAC
RNAcentral lists this ribosomal RNA (301 nucleotides) under uncultured bacterium. RNAcentral describes it as "partial 16S ribosomal RNA". It matches the Rfam family "Bacterial small subunit ribosomal RNA", at positions 509 to 807 of the family's 1533-position model. The record is from RNAcentral.